GAUGAACGCUGACAGAAUGCUUAACACAUGCAAGUCCACUUGAACUUCGGUUUGGGUGGCGGACGGGUGAGUAACGCGUAAAGAACUUGCCUCACAGAUAGGGACAACAUUUGGAAACGAAUGCUAAUACCUGAUAUUAUGAUUAUAUGGCAUCGUAUAAUUAUGAAAGCUAUAUGCGCUGUGAGAGAGCUUUGCGUCCCAUUAGCUAGUUGGAGAGGUAACGGCUCACCAAGGCGAUGAUGGGUAGCCGGCCUGAGAGGGUGAUCGGCCACAAGGGGACUGAGACACGGCCCUUACUCCUACGGGAGGCAGCAGGGGGGAAUAUUGGACAAUGGACCAAGAGUCUGAUCCAGCAAUUCUGUGUGCACGAUGAAGUUUUUCGGAAUGUAAAGUGCUUUCAGUUGUGAAGAAAAAAAUGACGGUACCAACAGAAGAAGUGACGGCUAAAUACGUG
RNAcentral lists this ribosomal RNA (454 nucleotides) under uncultured bacterium. Its description in RNAcentral is "partial 16S ribosomal RNA". It matches the Rfam family "Bacterial small subunit ribosomal RNA", at positions 28 to 507 of the family's 1533-position model. The record is from RNAcentral.